GAGAAGCUUCGACUAAGGUUCGAUUCGAGCGUCAGCGAGAAAGCGUUGCCGCAGGCAACGACCCGAAGGGCGAAGCGCGCAGCGCUGAGUCAUCCUUCCCCCACCACCA
Molecule: small RNA, 109 nt
Filed under: Salmonella enterica
Lineage: Bacteria; Pseudomonadati; Pseudomonadota; Gammaproteobacteria; Enterobacterales; Enterobacteriaceae
Also listed under: 4 other names
Description: partial RtT sRNA
Rfam family: RtT RNA
About the family: This family represents a bacterial cis-regulatory element known as RtT RNA. The exact function of RtT is unknown although it is thought that it may be involved in changing the cellular response in relation to amino acid starvation.
Source: RNAcentral